CAAAUUGUCUUCGAGGAAGUUUCCGCUCCUGGUUGUCUGUGAAUGUGAGGCAAAGCCAGGAGCCAUUUUGGAAGAUGGAAAACAUCUGGGGAGUGCAGAGCACACUGGAUUAGAAGGUAGAAUUUGUGCAAAUAGAAAACAAAACACCAAGGAAGAGUGAGUGCAAGUGAAGGAACAUACACAAGGUCAGAAGGAACUUGGAGAAUAUCAGAGCAGCAGCCCAUGAAUUCACCUGAGAAGGGCCGAGUCCUCCUGCAAAUCAGCUGAGGAAUGAGGUACCGUCUGCCGUGUGGACACAUUAGUUUCAUUAGGAGCAUCCUUAAUGGCCUUGGUCCCUCUGUGCUUUAAAACUUUGAGUCAACUCUU
This 366-nucleotide long non-coding RNA is filed under the name Cervus hanglu yarkandensis (Yarkand deer). RNAcentral describes it as "lncRNA (ENSCHYG00000021341.1)". The record is from RNAcentral. Lineage: Eukaryota; Metazoa; Chordata; Mammalia; Artiodactyla; Cervidae.